CCGAAACUAGCGGGGACUAGAUGAAAAAAAUCCCCUAAAUGCUCUGCGUGCGUUUACCCUGACAUCACAAUGGACCAAAUCGAAAACCAAACGAAAUCUAAGGGUUAAAAUUAAAAAAAAAACAAAAAGAAAACAGGAAAUGGGGCCCGAUUGAAUGGAGUUGCGAAUGAAAAGGACUAAUCGCAUAAAUUUUCCCUUUAGGGAGAAUGUGCAAACCCCCAUCCCACCAAACGACGUCGUUUCAAAGAUGAAAUAAAACCAAAAUCUUCGUUCUUUUUCAAUCUGCCGUUUCUUCUUUUAUUUUUCAAGAAAAAACAAAACACCCUCUCCCCCUUUGUUUCUCAACUCUCUGUUAGGGUUAUGAACCCUAGCCUUUGCGCCGUUAGCCUGUCGAUUGAGAGGAAGAAAGUCUCUCCUCUCCUCCUUUUGGGUCUGAUUUCAGCAACGGAGAGAGUCUCCGGUGACACAAUCACAGGGAUUCCGGGCAAGCCCUCUCCUUCUCUUAUUAUUUUUGUUUAAAAGAGAUUUAAAAAUAAAAGAUAAAAAAAUAUAUAUAAAAAAAAUAAAAAAGAAAAGAACACGAAAAUGGAAAUCGAAAUCAACCUUUUUUUUUCUUCUAUUUUUGCUUUUUGAUUGCUUAAUGUUCGUAAAAAAAAAUUACAAAUGAAAAUCGUGGCUCUUAUAGCCAAUUCAUAAACUGUUAGUUUUCAUUUUUUUUUGUCUUUUUGCAUGUUGUUUCUUCUGCUUGGCUUCUUUCGUUUGCGUGUUGUAGGUGGUUGUCAGAGAUGUCAGAUGCGUGUGACAAAGCGGCGCGCGUGGUGGCCAAGGGUAGCGUGCGGCGCUGGUCAAGGGCAGAGGGGUAUGCGGCGGCUGCACCUUGGGGACUAGGGUUUUGUCUGUUGAAAAAAAAGUUUAAGAUAGUGGGCUAGGGUUUGAUGUAAUGGGUCAUUUGGUUUUGGGUUUGGGCCUGCUGUUUGUUUUUGUAAAAUGGACUUUAUUUGGUUAUUUGGAUUUUAUUUUUUUGUUUAUUUGCCUGGGCCAAAAAUUGGCCAUUACACCAACCAUUAGGAAAAAGAGAGCAAAUAUUCUCAGAUAUUUUCUGAAUUUAUUGUGUGCUAAUUUGGAAGAUCAAAUCCUUAAGAUCCGGUAAAAUUUCAAGUAAUUCAUGGAUUCAGGUAAGCUUCCCUAUCUAGUUUUAUUUUUGAUUUAUUCUUGAUAAAUUGACAUGAUAGAUCCUGAUUUAUUAAGUUUUAUUUCAGAUUUAUUUUACAAAUCUAACACUAAAUUCUCAUUUAAUUAUUAUAUAAUUUUUAAUAAAUAUAUUUUUAUAGCAACAUUUUUCACCCACAUCUUUGGUGUGCUAUAAUCUAAUAUUUUCAUGGAGCUUUUGCUACUACUUAGAACACAUGAGAUCCAAAAUUUAAUGGCUAAAUAUGAACUCAAUCUCGAUAGGAAAAAGGUUAAUUGAUUUAGUGUUGUCGGAUAUUUAGAUGAUUUUAUUUGGUCGAAUUUGAGUGAAGAUCUCAAAAAAUUAAGAAUUUUUGUAUCUCUUUUUCAAUAUUAGAUUGAACCUGCUAUAAUCUAAUAUUGAAAUAUCCAAAUU
RNAcentral lists this long non-coding RNA (1603 nucleotides) under Gossypium barbadense (sea-island cotton). Its description in RNAcentral is "long non-coding RNA (GBAR_LNC006127)". Lineage: Eukaryota; Viridiplantae; Streptophyta; Magnoliopsida; Malvales; Malvaceae. The record is from RNAcentral.